GGUGAAUUCGUAGAUAUUAGAAAGAAUACCAAUUGCGAAGGCAGCUUUCUGGAUCAUUACUGACGCUGAGGAACGAAAGCAUGGGUAGCGAAGAGGAUUAGAUACCCUCGUAGUCCAUGCCGUAAACGAUGUGUGUUAGACGUUGGAAAUUUAUUUUCAGUGUCGCAGCGAAAGCGAUAAACACACCGCCUGGGGAGUACGACCGCAAGGUUAAAACUCAAAUGAAUUGACGGGGACCCGCACAAGUAGUGGAGCAUGUGGUUUAAUUCGAAGAUACGCGCAGAACCUUACCAACACUUGACAUGUUCGUCGCGACUUUAAGAGAUUAAAGUUUUCGGUUCGGCCGGACGAAACACAGGUGCUGCAUGGCUGUCGUCAGCUCGUGUCGUGAGAUGUUGGGUUAAGUCCCGCAACGAGCGCAACCCUCACUUUUAGUUGCCAUCAUUUAGUUGGGCACUCUGAAAGAACUGCCAGUGAUAAGCUGGAGGAAGGUGGGGAUGACGUCAAGUCCUCAUGGCCCUUACGUGUUGGGCUACACACGUGCUACAAUGGUAUUUACAACAGGAAGCGAAACAGCGAUGUUAAGCAAAUCCUUAAAAGAUACCUCAGUUCGGAUUGCACUCUGCAACUCGAGUGCAUGAAGCUGGAAUUACUAGUAAUCGUGGAUCAGCGUGCCACGGUGAAUGCGUUCCCGGGUCUUGUACACACCGCCCGUCACACCAUGGGAGUUGGUUCUACCUUAAGGCAAGGUUUAAUACCCUUGACUACGGUAUAGUCAGCGACUGGGGUGAAGUCGUAACAAGGU
RNAcentral lists this ribosomal RNA (805 nucleotides) under marine metagenome. RNAcentral describes it as "bacterial SSU rRNA". It matches the Rfam family "Bacterial small subunit ribosomal RNA", at positions 680 to 1497 of the family's 1533-position model. The record is from RNAcentral.